UCGUGGGGCUCCGGCCCCGUCGAGAUAGAACCCUUGCCUUUUGAGUACCCCUUUUCCGUUUCCUCGGCGGGUUCGCCCGCCGGUGGAGGCGCCAAAAAACACUUUGCAGUACCUGUAACCGUCUGAGAAACAAACAAAAAAUCA
RNAcentral lists this unclassified non-coding RNA (144 nucleotides) under uncultured Preussia. RNAcentral describes it as "sequence contains ITS1". The record is from RNAcentral. Lineage: Eukaryota; Fungi; Ascomycota; Dothideomycetes; Pleosporales; Sporormiaceae.